CCAGGUAAAUCCGGUUCACUUUAACACUGAGGCGUGAUGACGAGGCACUACGGUGCUGAAGCAACAAAUGCCCUGCUUCCAGGAAAAGCCUCUAAGCAUCAGGUAACAUCAAAUCGUACCCCAAACCGACACAGGUGGUCAGGUAGAGAAUACCAAGGCGCUUGAGAGAACUCGGGUGAAGGAACUAGGCAAAAUGGUGCCGUAACUUCGGGAGAAGGCACGCUGACACGUAGGUGAAGUGAUUUACUCAUGGAGCUGAAGUCAGUCGAAGAUACCAGCUGGCUGCAACUGUUUAUUAAAAACACAGCACUGUGCAAACACGAAAGUGGACGUAUACGGUGUGACGCCUGCCCGGUGCCGGAAGGUUAAUUGAUGGGGUCAGCGCAAGCGAAGCUCCUGAUCGAAGCCCCGGUAAACGGCGGCCGUAACUAUAACGGUCCUAAGGUAGCGAAAUUCCUUGUCGGGUAAGUUCCGACCUGCACGAAUGGCGUAAUGAUGGCCAGGCUGUCUCCACCCGAGACUCAGUGAAAUUGAACUCGCUGUGAAGAUGCAGUGUACCCGCGGCAAGACGGAAAGACCCCGUGAACCUUUACUAUAGCUUGACACUGAACAUUGAGCCUUGAUGUGUAGGAUAGGUGGGAGGCUUUGAAGUGUGGACGCCAGUCUGCAUGGAGCCGACCUUGAAAUACCACCCUUUAAUGUUUGAUGUUCUAACGUGGACCCGUAAUCCGGGUUGCGGACAGUGUCUGGUGGGUAGUUUGACUGGGGCGGUCUCCUCCUAAAGAGUAACGGAGGAGCACGAAGGUUGGCUAAUCCUGGUCGGACAUCAGGAGGUUAGUGCAAUGGCAUAAGCCAGCUUGACUGCGAGCGUGACGGCGCGAGCAGGUGCGAAAGCAGGUCAUAGUGAUCCGGUGGUUCUGAAUGGAAGGGCCAUCGCUCAACGGAUAAAAGGUACUCCGGGGAUAACAGGCUGAUACCGCCCAAGAGUUCAUAUCGACGGCGGUGUUUGGCACCUCGAUGUCGGCUCAUCACAUCCUGGGGCUGAAGUAGGUCCCAAGGGUAUGGCUGUUCGCCAUUUAAAGUGGUACGCGAGCUGGGUUUAGAACGUCGUGAGACAGUUCGGUCCCUAUCUGCCGUGGGCGCUGGAGAACUGAGGGGGGCUGCUCCUAGUACGAGAGGACCGGAGUGGACGCAUCACUGGUGUUCGGGUUGUCAUGCCAAUGGCACUGCCCGGUAGCUAAAUGCGGAAGAGA
This 1253-nucleotide ribosomal RNA is filed under the name Salmonella enterica subsp. enterica serovar Newport. Its description in RNAcentral is "partial 23S ribosomal RNA". It matches the Rfam family "Bacterial large subunit ribosomal RNA", at positions 1532 to 2764 of the family's 2925-position model. The record is from RNAcentral. Lineage: Bacteria; Pseudomonadati; Pseudomonadota; Gammaproteobacteria; Enterobacterales; Enterobacteriaceae.